RNAcentral lists this ribosomal RNA (374 nucleotides) under uncultured organism. RNAcentral's name for it is "partial 16S ribosomal RNA". It matches the Rfam family "Bacterial small subunit ribosomal RNA", at positions 527 to 896 of the family's 1533-position model. The record is from RNAcentral.
GUAGGUGGCAAGCGUUGUCCGGAAUUAUUGGGCGUAAAGCGCGCGCAGGCGGGUCCUUUAAGUCUGAUGUGAAAGCCCACGGGCUCAACCGUGGAGGGUCAUUGGAAACUGGGGGACUUGAGUACAGAAGAGGAAAGCGGAAUUCCAAGUGUAGCGGUGAAAUGCGUAGAGAUUUGGAGGAACACCAGUGGCGAAGGCGGCUUUCUGGUCUGUAACUGACGCUGAGGCGCGAAAGCGUGGGGAGCAAAUAGGAUUAGAUACCCUGGUAGUCCACGCCGUAAACGAUGAGUGCUAAGUGUUAGGGGGUUUCCGCCCCUUAGUGCUGCAGCUAACGCAUUAAGCACUCCGCCUGGGGAGUACGGCCGCAAAGGCUG